AAUGUAUAUUACCUAAUAUUGAGUAAAUGUUGGUCAUAUCUUUUGUUAAAAAAAAAGCCGAAGUUGGACCGUCCAAAUAUAUUUAUAAAAUCAAACUAGUGUAGGCAAAUAAAAAUAAAAUAUAUUUCCCAUUAAUUUUAAGGAACUCGCUUCAUUCUAUCUUCGGUUCAUAGGUCAGAGAUUUCAGAUGUUUAGGUUUAUCAUAUGUAUAGUAGUUGAAUUAUAGUUGGUUGAAUGUCUGCUAAACUGAUUACGUAACUUUAACAGUGUUAUCGGCUGAUGGUUCGACAAUAGAAUAAAUUAUAAUUUUCUGGCAUAGUUUAAGGCUGUCAAAAGUCUGGUCUACGA
RNAcentral lists this unclassified non-coding RNA (348 nucleotides) under Agrilus planipennis (emerald ash borer). Its description in RNAcentral is "uncharacterized LOC108740542, transcript variant X3". The record is from RNAcentral. Lineage: Eukaryota; Metazoa; Arthropoda; Insecta; Coleoptera; Buprestidae.